This 307-nucleotide ribosomal RNA is filed under the name bacterium endosmybiont of Otiorhynchus armadillo. RNAcentral's name for it is "bacterial SSU rRNA". It matches the Rfam family "Bacterial small subunit ribosomal RNA", at positions 25 to 336 of the family's 1533-position model. The record is from RNAcentral.
CAGAUUGAACGCUGGCGGCAUGCUUUACACAUGCAAGUCGAACGGUAACAGGUCUUCGGAUGCUGACGAGUGGCGAACGGGUGAGUAAUACAUCGGAACGUGCCUAGUANUGGGGGAUAACUACUCGAAAGAGUAGCUAAUACCGCAUGAGAUCUACGGAUGAAAGCAGGGGACCUUCGGGCCUUGUGCUACUAGAGCGGCUGAUGGCAGAUUAGGUAGUUGGUGGGGUAAAGGCUUACCAAGCCUGCGAUCUGUAGCUGGUCUGAGAGGACGACCAGCCACACUGGGACUGAGACACGGCCCAGAC